Molecule: long non-coding RNA, 266 nt
Filed under: Ananas comosus (pineapple)
Lineage: Eukaryota; Viridiplantae; Streptophyta; Magnoliopsida; Poales; Bromeliaceae
Description: long non-coding RNA (ACOM_LNC004493)
Source: RNAcentral
CCGUGCUUUGUUCAUCUUGAAAAAGCCUACCCAUCAAAUAAUAAGAGAGCUUAGCUAAUUAUAAAAUGUUUCACCAAUACUUAGCUUGCCCACGAAUAAUUGCUGCUGAUGAUAAACAAAUAACGUCGGAAGAUCGCCAUGGGGAGGCUCGUGCAGGAAAAGGAUGGAAGAUCGCCAUGGGGAGGCUCGUGCAGGAAAAGGAUGGGCUUCGCAACAACUCGAAUAAUAAAACCAGGCAACUUGAAGUAUAAUACUGGAGCAAGAGC